UACGUAGGGGGCUAGCGUUGUCCGGAAUUAUUGGGCGUAAAGCGCGCGCAGGUGGUUUCUUAAGUCUGAUGUGAAAGCCCACGGCUCAACCGUGGAGGGUCAUUGGAAACUGGGGAACUUGAGUGCAGAAGAGGAAAGUGGAAUUCCAAGUGUAGUGGUGAAAUGCGUAGAGAUUUGGAGGAACACCAGUGGCGAAGGCGACUUUCUGGUCUGUAACUGACACUGAGGCGCGAAAGCGUGGGGAGCGAACAGG
This 253-nucleotide ribosomal RNA is filed under the name uncultured bacterium. Its description in RNAcentral is "partial 16S ribosomal RNA". It matches the Rfam family "Bacterial small subunit ribosomal RNA", at positions 524 to 776 of the family's 1533-position model. The record is from RNAcentral.